AUUGCAGGAAAUAUGACUUCAGCAACAGAACACUUUCUGGUAACACUUUCUGGUAACACUUUCUGGAACACUUUACCUAACUCUCUAGUUUCUUCCCCAAAUCCCCAAAACUGUAACCUUAAACUGUCUACUAUUGACCUCACCCCUUUCCUAAGAGGUCUGUAGGGGGCGUGCAUAAGUGCACAACAUGCCUAUCAUCCCUGUCCUUUUG
This is a non-coding RNA of Pseudonaja textilis, 211 nucleotides long. NCBI's taxonomy places the organism in Eukaryota, Metazoa, Chordata, Lepidosauria, Squamata, Elapidae. The record is from RefSeq and is a predicted model, not a curated record.